GUUCUCACACAACAGUACCAACACGAGGUACAUACCAUAACAACAUAUAAUAAUCACACAAUAACCCGGGUGCUUAGACUAGUCUUGCUAUCCACUUAGCCCAGACAUCGUCUCAAGCCUCGGAUCCACAAACUGACACCUAGACCGGUCCAGCUAUCCUAGCUCGGAAGCCGUCUCCGAUGUCAGGAACCUGCAUUAAAAAUUCGUUAACAAACAAUUAACCGUGACUCACAGUGAUUAAGCGAUGUGGCUCGACUCUUUGAUUCCAGAUGUUGACCAAACCCCUUUUAUCCCCUCCAAAUCUUCGUCUUGGUACCGUGAUGUUAAAUCCCAAAACCCAACCUCAAUGUCUUGAAUGAAUUGGUCUGGACUGAUCAGAACUCAGAAAGAACCUUCUUUCUCUUCUGGACAGUCUUUCAGAACUUUCCGGCAGUUUAUCGGUCUUCGAAAAAUGUCUAUACUUCUAAAGCACCUCACUUCUUUCUCUCUCUCUCUCUCUCUAAGCCACGUUUUGGAGUGUCCUUGGUGUGUCUGAAUGAGUAAAAAUGAACCAGGGUAGCUGGGUAUAGGCCUGGGACUUUUAUCCGAGGUCCGUAAGUUUUAUUAAUAAAUAUUUCAAAAAUAGUAAUACUUAUAUAUAAAAAUUAAUUUUAUUUAAUAUAUUUUCAUUUUUAUAAUAGUAUAUAUAAAUUUUAUGUAAUUUUUUAAUAUUAUACAUAGAAAUAAUUAAAAACAUUAUAUAUAUUUUUAUUUUUAAAUUAUUGUUAAUAUUUUAUAUAUAUUAAUAUUAUUUUUUAUUUAUAUUAAGGAUACAAAUCCAGAUCCGGAUAUCCGCCGGAUAUUACAAUUUUUACAAGGAUAUCCGACACUCGGAUAUCUGAGAACCCCAGAUCCGGAUAAGGAUAGUAAAAUUAUGGAUCCGCCGGAUAAGGAUCCGGAUUCGGAUACCUUAAAAUUGCCCGGAUAUCCAAUCCGUCCCAUGCCGGUAUAUAUAGAAGUUGCCGGCCAAUAAGAAUGAGCCACCCGAUCGCCUGUGUGUCGUCCUGUAUGCUUCCGGUCGCAUGCGUGGCGACACAUGGGAGUCCACAUGCCCUGUUGCAUGCUCUCUAGCCAUGCCAGAAGAGACCUCCACGUCCACUUGCCCUUCAGCAUGUCUGGUGUUCAUGCAUCGCGACACACGGACCUCUGCAUGUCGGUUCGCAUGCGCAGAUCGCAGGUAUUGCGACACCUCGUGCUUCUAUGUGUCAAGCUGCAUGGAAUUGCUUCAUGCACGUCUACACCUCCUUCUUGUGUUGAUACUGAGCAGGUUAAAUGGUUGACACCACGUCCUGAUCUCUUAGAUCAAGCCACCUUGAGCUUCUCGGUCGAUUUGGGCGAUUUCGGCCCUUCUGGUGAAUUUUCGUCCCACGAUCAAUCCCGAAUAUUUUUCCGCACCCGAUCUGAUGAGCUAAAUAUUUUUAAUAGAAUCCAGACUAACCUUAACCUUGAGGAUAAAAAUUUUCCGAGCUUUCGGUUUUCCCGAGAAAUUCCAUAAAACCGAAAUUCGGUUUUUUUUUUUGUUUUUUUUGUUUUUUUAAGAUGGGGUAUUACAGUAGUAAACACAUAAAAUUCAUUAAACUCAAGAAUUAAUGAAACAUUGACUUUUGAUUGACCGUGACACGUGUCAUCACCACAAAUUCCGAAUUAGUGACUGUGACACGUGUGAUCACCACAAACUCAAGAAUUAAGAACCAUCCAUGAAUUUAGUAUAAGCAGUAGUAGUAAUGUUAUAAAGUUUAGAGGUGAAUGUUUGGUCUCGACUGUGUUCUAAUUUGAUUGUUGAAGCCAUAUAUAUUAAGGCACUCUGAAAUCAUUAAAAGAACAAGUUAAUGUUAAGAUAUUUUUAUACCACAUGUUAAAAAAUGUUUUCCUAACGAUACGCAAAUGUCAAUAUAUAUGGCAUGUGAAUACAAGCGUGGCAGGCAAGUGCACAAUAAACUAUUAUCUCUAGAAAGAUAAAAACGAUAAACUAUUUAAAAAAGUUGUACAGAAAUUCUUAAGAUCUAAUCAGACGCGCGGAAAAAAAAUGUCAAGUUUGAUUCUCAUCGGAUGUAAUUGUUCCUACAACAUUAUGGCCAUUAAAUAACACUGAUUCACAAACUAUAUGUACGGAGAACAUUAGUUUCGCAGAUGCAUCCGGAGAAAAUCAACUAUCAAGGACAGGGAACCUUCUACGCCGAGAAGAGAAUAUGCUGCAACAUUUGACUUUUUUUCAAAAAACCUGAUCACAAAAACCUGAUCACAAUGGCUAAAUUUCUCAACAGAGCUGAAAAAUAAAAAUUCUUUAAAGUGAUUCUAAGCAUUCGAGAUUUUAUAUGUUCUGGGGAUGCAAAAUACAAUUUUUGAUUAUACCAAAAAAAAAAAUACAAUUUUUGAUUUUCUAGUUAUAACUGCUCGAUCAUUCCCUAGGGAACUUUAUUACGUUGAUUAUUCUAUUCUGGUUCGGCUUUCUAAACCAUCUUAAAUUUGAAUAUUAGAAUAAUAGUUUGAUGUAAAAAAAAUAUGAUAACACAAAUUAUUUAUUUUAUAAUUAUCAUAUGCUAGAUACAAAGAUAUAAAAUUUUAAACUAUUUCAUAAUUUUUUAUUGUGAUAUCAACUAUUUCACGAUCUUAGGAUACUAAUUUAAUUUUUGUUUUGUUGAUAGAUAUCAGCUAUAUGUCGGGAAACAAUUACAUUGUAGGUCACUUUCUUACUUUAAAAUAACUGUCUAAGACACUUAUUGCUACCAACACAUUUUUUCUAUGCAAAAGACGAGAAUAACCUUAGAACCUAAUCAAAGUAAUUGUUACCUCCUCUUUCCUUUCGUCAAGCCGUACCAUCUCUGUUUCCAUCUCUGUUUCCAUCUCUUUUUCUUUCCUCUUUCUCUCUCUCCUUAACUCUUCAAUUUCUUGCCGUAAUCGCUCUUCAAUUUCUUGCCGUAAUCGCUUGUUCUCCUCCUCUGCUAAUCUUGACGUCUCUUUACUCGAAUCCUCUAUCUGAGAUUUGAGCAACAUGACAACAGAAACAGAUUCCCUGAGUAGGUUGACCUACGCCUGUGGGAAGUAAACGUCGUAAGAUGGCCGGUGUUGGAAACGAGUUGACUCGGCAGAAACUGAUUCAAUCACUCCUCAAUCUCUGUAACUCGAUUCGCGAUGGUGUCGAGCAUAUUCUUUGGUGGAACAUGUUCUAUUUUUUUAAUUUCAUUUAGCUCUUGUACACUUGAUCCUUCUUCUUUCCUUAUUUUCUAGUCAUGUAUGCCUUCUAAAAUGUUUGUGUUCAUGAAGGUGGGAUAUGUCUUUGUGCGAUAAUGUUACUUAUAUUUUUUUGCAAAUCUAUCUUUCACCAUAUAAAUUGAUAGAUUGUAAUCUCUAACAUUUAAACAUGAAGCUUAUUGAGGAUAUACUACAA
Brassica napus (rape) is the source of this 3427-nucleotide long non-coding RNA. RefSeq lists it as uncharacterized. Lineage: Eukaryota; Viridiplantae; Streptophyta; Magnoliopsida; Brassicales; Brassicaceae. The transcript has 2 exons. The record is from RefSeq and is a predicted model, not a curated record.